UCGCACACUCGAGUUUUAACGUAUUUCCAAUAAUAGAUCGGAGUGGCUUCGGCGCGAGUCGUUCAACACGCUACUGCGGAUUAAUUCGAUUUGUUCGGUUUAGUGCACACAGCUCUAACAGGCUAGAAUCGAUUUAUAUGAGCUGUAUACAAAUUAACGAUAUUUCAAGGAGAGAAGCAGUUUACUUCAUUAGCGCUCCCACCGGCAAAUGCCAGAGAAUGGACAAUUAAAUUGAACUCGCUAUAUGGCGUGGAUGGAUGAGAAAAGAAACAGAUCAAGUGGAGAGAACAAGACAAUGUCCAGUCAAUAUCUCAGGUACUCAAGUAGGGGUUGAAGCUUGGGCCAACCAACGGCCGACGCUUGGCAUGCCAAUCACCAAGCUUGGCGCAACGUUUGGCUGACAGAUUAGCUCAUGACUGGGCUGUAGCCUGGAUGAUAACUCGGGCCCAGUUAAGGGACGCUAGAAUGACCCAACGUAUGCAGCCGUUCCUGACCCAUAACAGGCCCAAAAUUUUUUACCAAGACUGGUUCAAUUGUAAUUUCGAAGCUUGGGACCGAAUGACUAACCGGUCCUUUAAUUUAUCUACCAAUUAUUG
This is a long non-coding RNA of Fopius arisanus, 596 nucleotides long. RefSeq lists it as uncharacterized. NCBI's taxonomy places the organism in Eukaryota, Metazoa, Arthropoda, Insecta, Hymenoptera, Braconidae. The record is from RefSeq and is a predicted model, not a curated record. The transcript has 3 exons.